RNAcentral lists this ribosomal RNA (497 nucleotides) under uncultured bacterium. Its description in RNAcentral is "partial 16S ribosomal RNA". It matches the Rfam family "Bacterial small subunit ribosomal RNA", at positions 28 to 507 of the family's 1533-position model. The record is from RNAcentral.
GAUGAACGCUGGCGGCGUGCCUAAUACAUGCAAGUCGAGCGAACAGACGAGGAGCUUGCUCCUCUGACGUUAGCGGCGGACGGGUGAGUAACACGUGGAUAACCUACCUAUAAGACUGGGAUAACUUCGGGAAACCGGAGCUAAUACCGGAUAAUAUAUUGAACCGCAUGGUUCAAUAGUGAAAGACGGUUUUGCUGUCACUUAUAGAUGGAUCCGCGCCGCAUUAGCUAGUUGGUAAGGUAACGGCUUACCAAGGCAACGAUGCGUAGCCGACCUGAGAGGGUGAUCGGCCACACUGGAACUCAGACACGGUCCAGACUCCUACGGGAGGCACCAGUAGGGAAUCUUCCGCAAUGGGCGAAAGCCUGACGGAGCAACGCCGCGUGAGUGAUGAAGGUCUUCGGAUCGUAAAACUCUGUUAUUAGGGAAGAACAAAUGUGUAAGUAACUAUGCACGUCUUGACGGUACCUAAUCAGAAAGCCACGGCUAACUACGUG